CUCCUCAGCAGCCUGGGACCACCCCUGGGCGUGGCCUAAGGAGCCUGGUCCAAGCCAAAAGCUCCUCUGCGGAGCAACGCGCUGCGUGAGGAGCUCCUCUGGUCCGGCGUGUGGCAGGAAACUGGCCUCUGCAUCAGACUGCUCUGUAGAGGGGACUGCUGACCUCAAACUCACCUUAAAACAACCAUCAAGCCAGGACGAGAAGACGAUGACAACAGUGGUGGACAGCUGACCCAAGGAUCCGGGCCAAGCCUACAACCAGCUAUCAUCAGGCUUGUUAGGCUUGUCACCUUUACCCGAAAAUCUUCUAUUUUGCCAUAUAGACAUGCCCCACCCAAUGAGGACACCAUGCCAGAGGGAGUCUCAGGAAUCAAUGAUCCUGAUGUGGGCUUCCCUGGUAGCGCAGUGGUUAUGAAUCUGCCUGCCAAUGCAGGAGACAUGGGUUCGAGCCCUGAUCUGGGAAGAUCCCACAUGCUGUGGAGCAACUAAGCCCAUGUGCCACAACUACUGAGCCUGCACUCUAGAGCCUGCAAGCCACAACUAUUGAAGCCCGAGUGCCACAACUACUGAAGCCUGCACGCCUAGAGCCUGUGCUCCACGAUGAGAAGCCAUUGCAAUAAGUUCAUGCACCACAAUGAAGAGCAGCCCUCACUCACCGCAACUAAAGAAAGCCUGCAUGUAACAAUGAAGACCUAAUGCAGCCAAAAGUAAAUAAAUAAAAUUUAAAAAAUGA
Molecule: long non-coding RNA, 733 nt
Organism: Orcinus orca (killer whale)
Lineage: Eukaryota; Metazoa; Chordata; Mammalia; Artiodactyla; Delphinidae
Exons: 4
Source: RefSeq, a predicted model, not a curated record